RNAcentral lists this non-coding RNA (46 nucleotides) under Trichobilharzia regenti. The record is from RNAcentral. Lineage: Eukaryota; Metazoa; Platyhelminthes; Trematoda; Strigeidida; Schistosomatidae.
GUGCUGAUGAGGAGUCCCAAACUAGGAUGAAACAGCUGUCCAGUAU